This 301-nucleotide ribosomal RNA is filed under the name uncultured bacterium. Its description in RNAcentral is "partial 16S ribosomal RNA". It matches the Rfam family "Bacterial small subunit ribosomal RNA", at positions 509 to 807 of the family's 1533-position model. The record is from RNAcentral.
CAGUAGCCGCGGUAAUACGAAGGGUGCAAGCGUUAAUCGGAAUUACUGGGCGUAAAGCGUGCGUAGGCGGUUUCUUAAGUCUGCUGUGAAAUCCCCGGGCUCAACCUGGGAAUGGCAGUGGAUACUGGGAAGCUAGAGUGUGUCAGAGGAUGGUGGAAUUCCCGGUGUAGCGGUGAAAUGCGUAGAGAUCGGGAGGAACAUCAGUGGCGAAGGCGGCCAUCUGGGACAACACUGACGCUGAGGCACGAAAGCGUGGGGAGCAAACAGGAUUAGAUACCCCCGUAGUCCCUGUCUCUUAUAC